This 160-nucleotide small RNA is filed under the name Paenibacillus selenitireducens. RNAcentral's name for it is "c-di-AMP sequence". It matches the Rfam family "c-di-AMP riboswitch aptamer (ydaO/yuaA leader)". From Rfam's summary of the family: This family represents a conserved RNA structure found upstream of the ydaO and yuaA genes in Bacillus subtilis and related genes in other bacteria. The ydaO/yuaA element is thought to act as a genetic "off" switch for the ydaO and yuaA genes in its native state. It is believed that the element may be triggered during osmotic shock leading to activation of ydaO, a predicted amino acid transporter gene, and members of the yuaA-yubG operon which code for KtrA and KtrB K+ transporters. The record is from Rfam by way of RNAcentral. Lineage: Bacteria; Bacillati; Bacillota; Bacilli; Caryophanales; Paenibacillaceae.
UUGAUUUAUUCGCUGAGUUCUCAUGAUGAUGAGAAACGGGGGAACCAUGAUGGAAGCCUUGGCUUCUUGGGGUGAAUCGGAAGGUUGAAUCCCUUCUGUAGGGUACGCUCUCAAACCCGAAUCCGACAGCUAACCUCGUAAGCGAUUGUUGAGAGAGGUC